RNAcentral lists this ribosomal RNA (346 nucleotides) under uncultured Methanosaeta sp. Its description in RNAcentral is "bacterial SSU rRNA". It matches the Rfam family "Archaeal small subunit ribosomal RNA", at positions 993 to 1338 of the family's 1478-position model. The record is from RNAcentral. Lineage: Archaea; Methanobacteriati; Methanobacteriota; Methanomicrobia; Methanotrichales; Methanotrichaceae.
CAUGGCCGUCGUCAGUUCGUACUGUGAAGCAUCCUGUUAAGUCAGGCAACGAGCGAGACCCACGCCCACAGUUGCCAGCGUACUCUCCGGAGUGACGGGUACACUGUGGGGACCGCCGCUGCUAAAGCGGAGGAAGGAAUGGGCAACGGUAGGUCAGUAUGCCCCGAAUAUCCCGGGCUACACGCGAGCUACAAUGGUUGGUACAAUGGGUAUCUACCCCGAAAGGGGACGGGAAUCUCCUAAAACCAAUCUUAGUUCGGAUUGAGGGCUGCAACUCGCCCUCAUGAAGCUGGAAUCCGUAGUAAUCGCGUUUCAACAGAACGCGGUGAAUACGUCCCUGCUCCUU